CCUGGCGGCAAGCCUCAUACAUGCCAGUCGAACGAGAAAGCAUCUUCGGAUGUGAGUAAAGUGGCGGACGGGUGAGUAAUACAUAGGAAUCUACCCAAUGGCGGGGGACAGCUCGAGGAAACUCGAAUUAAUACCGCAUGAUCUCUACGGAGUAAAGAGGGCUUCGGCUCUCACCAUCGGAUGAGCCUAUGCAAGAUUAGCUUGUUGGUAAGGUAAUGGCUUACCAAGGCUACGAUCUUUAGCUGGUUUGAGAGGAUGACCAGCCACAUC
Molecule: ribosomal RNA, 270 nt
Filed under: uncultured Gammaproteobacteria bacterium
Lineage: Bacteria; Pseudomonadati; Pseudomonadota; Gammaproteobacteria
Description: partial 16S ribosomal RNA
Rfam family: Bacterial small subunit ribosomal RNA
Source: RNAcentral